Molecule: ribosomal RNA, 468 nt
Filed under: uncultured bacterium
Lineage: Bacteria
Description: partial 16S ribosomal RNA
Rfam family: Bacterial small subunit ribosomal RNA
Source: RNAcentral
GACGAACGCUGGCGGCGUGCUUAACACAUGCAAGUCGAACGGAAAGGCCCUGCUUUUGUGGGGUGCUCGAGUGGCGAACGGGUGAGUAACACGUGAGUAACCUGCCCUUGACUUUGGGAUAACUUCAGGAAACUGGGGCUAAUACCGGAUAGCAGCUCCUGCUGCAUGGUGGGGGUUGGAAAGUUUCGGCGGUUGGGGAUGGACUGGCGGCUUAUCAGCUUGUUGGUGGGGUAGUGGCUUACCAAGGCAUUGACGGGUAGCCGGCCUGGGAGGGUGACCGGCCACAUUGGGACUGAGAGACGGCACAGACUCCGACGGGAGGCAGCAGUGGGGAAUAUUGCACAAUGGGCGGAAGCCUGAUGAAGCAACGCCGCGUGCGGGAUGACGGCUUUCGGGGUGUAAACCGCUUUCGCCUGUGACGAAGCGUGAGUGACGGUAAUGGGUAAAGAAGCACCGGCUAACUACGUG